Molecule: ribosomal RNA, 460 nt
Filed under: uncultured bacterium
Lineage: Bacteria
Description: partial 16S ribosomal RNA
Rfam family: Bacterial small subunit ribosomal RNA
Source: RNAcentral
CCUACGGGUGGCUGCAGGGAGGAAUAUUGGGCAAUGGGCGCGAGCCUGAACCAGCCAAGGAGCGUGAAGGAUGACUGCCCUACGGGUUGUAAACUUCUUUUAUAAAGGAAUAAACUGAGGCACGUGUGCCUUUUUGUAUGUACCUUAUGAAUAAGGAUCGGCUAACUCCGUGCCAGCAGCCGCGGUAAUACGGAGGAUCCGAGCGUUAUCCGGAUUUAUUGGGUUUAAAGGGAGCGUAGAUGGGUUGUUAAGUCAGUUGUGAAUGUUUGCGGCUCAACCGUAAAAUUGCAAUUGAUACUGGCAGCCUUGAGUACAGUUGAGGUAGGCGGAAUUCGUGGUGUAGCGGUGAAAUGCUUAGAUAUCACGAAGAACUCCGAUUGCGAAGGCAGCUUACUAAACUGCAACUGACAUUGAUGCUCGAAAGUGUGGGUAUCAAACAGGAUUAGAUACCCCUGUAGUC